CAGUCGCCACGGUAAUACGUAGGUCCCGAGCGUCGUCCGGAUUUAUUGGGCGUAAAGGGAGCGCAGGCGGUUUAGUAAGUCUGAAGUUAAAGGCAUUGGCUCAACCAAUGUAUGCAUUGGAAACUGGGAGACUUAGAGUGCAGAAGAGGAGAGUGGAAUUCCAUGUGUAGCGGUGAAAUGCGUAGAUGUAUGGAGGAACACCAGUGGCGAAGGCGACUCUCUGGUCUGUAACUGACGCUGAGGCGCGAAAGCGUGGGGAGCAAACAGGAUUAGAUACCCGCGUAGUCCCUGUCUCUUAUAC
This 301-nucleotide ribosomal RNA is filed under the name uncultured bacterium. Its description in RNAcentral is "partial 16S ribosomal RNA". It matches the Rfam family "Bacterial small subunit ribosomal RNA", at positions 509 to 807 of the family's 1533-position model. The record is from RNAcentral.